ACAACUUUCAGCAACGGAUCUCUUGGCUCUCGCAUCGAUGAAGAACGCANCGAAAUGCGAUAAGUAAUGUGAAUUGCANAAUUCAGUGAAUCAUCGAAUCUUUGAACGCACCUUGCGCUCCUUGGUAUUCCGAGGAGCAUGCCUGUUUGAAUGUCAUUAA
Molecule: ribosomal RNA, 160 nt
Filed under: Conocybe apala
Lineage: Eukaryota; Fungi; Basidiomycota; Agaricomycetes; Agaricales; Bolbitiaceae
Description: 5.8S ribosomal RNA
Rfam family: 5.8S ribosomal RNA
About the family: 5.8S ribosomal RNA (5.8S rRNA) is a component of the large subunit of the eukaryotic ribosome.
Source: RNAcentral